CAGCAUUCUGUAGCAAUACAGGGUGUGGGCGCGUGGCGAACGGGUGCGUAACACGUGGAUAACCUUCCUUCAGGUGGGGAAUAACCCAGUGAAAAUUGGGCUAAUACCGCAUAACAUGACGAUGCCACAUGGUGUUGUCUUCAAAGCCGCAAGGCGCCAGAGGAGGGAUCCGCGGCCGAUUAGCUUGUUGGCGAGGUAAUGGCUCACCAAGGCUUUGAUCGGUAGCCGGACUGAGAGGUUGGCCGGCCACACUGGAACUGAGACACGGUCCAGACUCCUACGGGAGGCAGCAGUGGGGAAUCUUGCACAAUGGACGAAAGUCUGAUGCAGCAACGCCGCGUGGGGGAUGAAGCUUUUCGGA
RNAcentral lists this ribosomal RNA (361 nucleotides) under uncultured bacterium. RNAcentral's name for it is "bacterial SSU rRNA". It matches the Rfam family "Bacterial small subunit ribosomal RNA", at positions 67 to 422 of the family's 1533-position model. The record is from RNAcentral.